UGGGUUGUGGCUCAGUGGUAGAGUGCUUGCCUAGUAAGCAUGUGUGAGGCACUGGGUUUGAUCCUCAGCACCACAU
RNAcentral lists this transfer RNA (76 nucleotides) under Ictidomys tridecemlineatus (thirteen-lined ground squirrel). Its description in RNAcentral is "Spermophilus tridecemlineatus (thirteen-lined ground squirrel) tRNA". It matches the Rfam family "tRNA". From Rfam's summary of the family: Transfer RNA (tRNA) molecules are approximately 80 nucleotides in length. The record is from Rfam by way of RNAcentral. Lineage: Eukaryota; Metazoa; Chordata; Mammalia; Rodentia; Sciuridae.